Long non-coding RNA from Homo sapiens (human), 1949 nucleotides. The record is from Ensembl. NCBI's taxonomy places the organism in Eukaryota, Metazoa, Chordata, Mammalia, Primates, Hominidae.
GCUGCGCUCCCUGCCACCGCCCCGCCGUCCCCGUCUCCCCGCUUGGGCACGGGGCUGUGCGCGACGCAGUGGACGGGUGCGGGGCUCAGCGAGGGACUCCCGGGUCCAUAGAGAUCUGGGGAGGGUGGGGGGAGCAAGGACGAGUGCCUGCCGGGACCCCCCUGGCUCCUCGCUCCCAAGGAGUCGAGGGGAACGUCUCUACCGCGCUGCAAAGCCAGCAGGCAUUUGCUAGGCCCUUAGGAGGUCAGGCAACUUGCACUGUGGCACAUGAAGAAUAUUCACAUACUUCAUAUCCUGCAGGAGAAAGGAGACAGCACAAGAAAUUCUGUUGUCACUAAUUGAAAGUAGUUUAUCACUUUAUCUUUAGAAGGUCUAAUGCCAAAACUUCAAGGAGAUAAUAAAUAGUCCAGUCUGGGUUUGAGCCUGGAGUUUGGAUGUCUAAGAUGACUCCGAGCGGAUGUGGAUUUACGUGUUAGUACCUGAAAGUGGGCACAGCCCCCACCUUGGAAUGAAUGUACACUUCCAAAGGACUCGUUCCCACAGGGUGGUGGAAGGAACAACAGAGACAGCUAUGUGCCCACAUGCUCAGCCAUCUGCCAUUCCAACCACAUGUCUCUCCCCCCGUUUCCUGCAAAUGAUUCAUCUAUUCUUUUUCUCCUUCUUCAAAGAUAACUCUGUAAGCACUUAAGGAGGGGAAAGUCAUUAAGAAAAGUGGAAUCUGGAGUUAUUAGGAUGAGAUAGAGCAGAUUAAACAGUCUGGAAUUUCACAAAGCAAACAGCACAGGGUGCGGACCCUGGGCCCGUCUCUCUCCUGCUGGUGCAUCAUUUCACAGGUUAUCAUCCUUCAUGAACAGGUCAACAAAAAUGGCCACAGGUAAACAUGAGCAUAUGAGUUGCUAAAGAGAAAGAAAGACAGAGAACAGCAGAAGUCAGGAGGAUUCUGGAUUUUCCAACUGGAGCCUCUGUGCAUCUUAUCCAGCAUCACAGACAGUGUCUGUCGCUAAGUGAUGCCAAAGGUUUUACACCAAUGAAUGGGAUCUUUGUGACGUUUUCCCAAUAACAGACCAAAAAGCUGCCACUAAAAUCAUGCUUUUAAAGGAGAUCCUGAACAAUAGCCAGUGAAGGUGAUUAUGGCCAUGUCCCCAUGUCCAUGAGGAGGUGCUUGGUGGGUAUUUGUUGAAUUGCAUCAAACUGGAGUUGGAUGGGACUCAGUUCAAAUCCUGACUCUGCUUCCAGCUUCUGGUACAUUAGGCAAGUUGCUAAACCUCUGGGCUUAGGGGAUAAAGACACUACCUCACAGGGUGGAGUGAGGAGUAGAAGAUAAUAUACGUGAAGUACUUCAUGUGGUCUUUGGAAAGAGGUAGAUAGAUAGGCAAAUAUCAGGUGAUUACAAAUACUCCUUAUAAUUUCACUUCAGUUUGUACCGCAUCUCACACCCUGAAGCUAGCAGGGUAAAGAGCUCUCAGGAGAAUGAAGAGGCCUCUGGCCCAUUCUAGUAUGGUCUCUCCCAUCAGGAGGGGAAAGGCAAAUAUUGCAUGGGACCUGGCAAUAAGAUUGAAUGAGACAUAAGCAAAGUCUGAUCGCAUCCUUAUCCCCACCCCUUAACAGCCACUAUAUCCCUUGAGGCAAGUGAAGGGCCCCAGAAGUGAGGGAUCUUAUUGCUAAGUAGAUCAGACAGAGUUCUUAAAGAUUCUAAUAUGUUGCCUGUAUUGUCUCAUCUGUAAAAUGGGUGUUAAAAUAGCACUCAUAUCUUGGGUUAUGAAGAUGAAAGAAGAUAAUCUAUGUAAAGGACUGAGCACAGGGCCUGGGACAGUUAGUGAUAGAUACAUGUUAGCUACUGUUGCUAUUUUGUAUUCCAUGUUCAAUCUAUGAUAUUGAUUAACCUGUUUAUUGAUUGCUGGAUUUUCAUUUAGUAAAUUAAUUUUCAAUAAAUGAUUUUCACUUAAGCA